UGUUGUGUAUACUGCCCUGAAACCAACAAUGAUGUGUGAAAACAAUUAAAAAACCUAACCUAACCUAACCUAACCUGUAUGCUGCUUGUGUAUUCUUUCUACCUGUACUGAUACUGUGCUGAGGUUGUGUGAGAGAUUAAGGAAGUGGGCUUGGCUUUACAUCUGCUUCUUUUUUGCGUAACUCUCAGAGUGAAAAACCGCAGGCGCAGCGAGCCGCUUUCUGUUGUCCAUAAGUCGGAAACUUUUUUAAUAUUGCCUUUUCAGAGUCAAUUUUUACUCUUGAAGUUUUUGUUCGACUACAGGACGAUACGUCGCACCAAAUAAAGAUCAUGGACAAACUGGAGUCAGCGCAGCACAACCUCUGUAUGUGGCUUUCAAGUGACCCAGAUUACAUCCUUGAAAAGUGUGGGGAUAUUUUAUCUAUGAAUGAGUUCCGUGAGGUACAAAGGCAAAGCAGUGCAUUAGAUAAGAUGAAAGUACUUUUGAAAAUAAUAAUGCAAAAGGGAGGAGAUACCCCUCAGUACUUCUUGGACAUUCUGAAGCAACAUCAGUCACAUUACCAGCAUGUGCCGCAGCUCUUUAACCCUAACACUGAAAGCUCACCCACACCAACAGUGUUUGCUGAUGGAAGCAGUGUUGUUACUGCCAGAACCAUGAAAAACAUUAAAGCAAAAAAUAUCAACAUAAGGGUUGAAACAGUGAGCAAUGCAGGAAGCCGUCCAACUGCAACUACUGUUGGACAGGUUCCUGGAGCAGAUUAUACAGCCUGUGAUAGCAGUAUCAUUUGCGGUGACACAAUGACUGAUAUCGAGGUUGACGGUGAAUUAAAUUUAUCAGCCUCUGUGACACCAUCACAAUUUCAGCUAAUCCCAACACUGCUUUUCUCUCAGAAACAGUAGAUGAGACACUGCCAUCCUCUCAGGGCCCUGCUGUGAAAACCAUCACUGAGCACAAGUUGGAACUCAUUGACUGCCUGAGGGCCGAUCAUUCCUUCAUUCUGCAGCAUGUGCACGCCAAACAAAUCGUCACGGACAGACAGUAUCAGAAUUUGAAGCAUAUCUUACAGCCAGAAGAAACUGUUACUAACCUUAUCGAUAAAUUGAUCGUAAAUGGUCAAAAUUCCUGCUCUCUAUUCCUUGAAGUUCUCAAAGAGCCUGAUAUUCUCAAGACCUAUCCACAGCUCAGAGAAAUUACAAAAAAAAUGUGCUAAGCAACAGUUGAAGUACAGUGUAUGAACUAGUAAUGGUAAUGCAUUGAAAAAGACAACUGUAGGCUAAAUUUGGAAAAUCUGGCUUUGAAUAUAUUGUGGAUAAAGUAUGUGAGUGAUGUGGUUUUAUGUUGUAUGUGUUCUUUAUUUUGUACUUUGGUAAUGCUAUCUUUUGAAAAUAGAUCUGAUUAAGCAGCAGUAAAAUGACAGGGAUUGUUGAUGGGAUUCUCUCACAUGAACUGGACAAAUGGGCCGCUGCAUGUAAUCUACAGAGCCAGUAGCUAUUUAGCAUUGUAAAGGUUUUGUUUCUUGGAUUUUUUGGGUUUAUUUGCAGUGUACUUACAAUUCAUGCAAUGAACUGACCAUUAGAAUUGAAACUAAACUCUCAAGAGCAUUUAUUUAACAGGCUUUCAAACUCUACAUCUAAUCAUGGGGACAAAAACGUGUCAAUAAUCAGAGGGGGAUGGUGGCUGGGAUGUGACUUCAUAUUUGAGUUUUGAUCUUCCUGGGAGCUACAAAUAUUUUUAGAGCAUAGGUGCAGGACAGCCACACACAAAACCAACAAAUUCAAAAUAUCAGCCAAUCAGUCCCUAAGCAUAGGUUUUAACCAGCUCUAUAAGAAACAUGUUCUCCCACAUUGAUCAGAGAGUUUAUGCAUGCUAUUACCCAAAUCUGUCUAUGUGAUCCUGUCAGCUCUUAAAGCUAUGCAUCAUUGUAUCUCUUUGUCUGUCUCAAGUAAUAAAGUAUCAAAUAUCAGGAGAAA
Epinephelus lanceolatus (giant grouper) is the source of this 1970-nucleotide non-coding RNA. NCBI's taxonomy places the organism in Eukaryota, Metazoa, Chordata, Actinopteri, Perciformes, Serranidae. The record is from RefSeq and is a predicted model, not a curated record.